Molecule: ribosomal RNA, 379 nt
Filed under: uncultured eukaryote
Lineage: Eukaryota
Description: partial 18S ribosomal RNA
Rfam family: Eukaryotic small subunit ribosomal RNA
Source: RNAcentral
CAAUAGCGUAUAUUAAAGUUGUUGCAGUUAGAACGCUCGUAGUCGGAUUUCGGGUCGGGCCGACCGGUCUGCCGAUGGGUACGCACUGGUCGGCGCGUCCUUCCUCUCGGAGACUGUUCCUACUCUUAACUGAGCGGGAGCAGGAUACGGGACUUUUACUUUGAAAAAAUCAGAGUGUUUCAAGCAGGCAGCUCGCUCUUGCAUGGAUUAGCAUGGGAUAAUGAAAUAGGACUUUGGUGCUAUUUUGUUGGUUUCGAACACCGAAGUAAUGAUGAGAAGGGACAGUCAGGGGCACUCGUAUUCCGCCGAGAGAGGUGAAAUUCUCAGACCAGCGGAAGGCGAACCACUGCGAAAGCAUUUGCCAGGGAUGUUUUCACUG